This 1074-nucleotide ribosomal RNA is filed under the name Triticum aestivum (bread wheat). Its description in RNAcentral is "partial small subunit ribosomal RNA". Lineage: Eukaryota; Viridiplantae; Streptophyta; Magnoliopsida; Poales; Poaceae. The record is from RNAcentral.
AUGCACCCGCAAUCCCCGCUCUUUCCGGCUCCACUCCUUCGUCCUCCUCGGAACCGCCCCUCCCGCUCCCACUCCCUCUCGCCUCGAUCUCCUCCCCACCCCACUCCACCAGGCGCACAAGUCACGCCAAUAAAAACCUCUCUUCAUGCGCCCACUUCCUGCUUGACCAGAGAUCACUCGUACACACGCGCGUGCUCUGCUCUGCUCCGCCGUACGUCCAUCGAUCCAUCGACCGGUCCGGCCACGUCAAUGGCGGACGCGGCCGGGAAGGCGCAGGCGGCCCGGGACGUGUGCGCGGCGUCGGCGGCCUUCGCGUCCUGCCCGCACCGCCGCCGCUCCCCGCGCCGCGCGCACUUCGUCGACUGGUACCUCGUCCUCGCCAUUGGCGAGGCCGCGUCGGAGGACGCCAUCAAGCGGCGCUACCGGCACCUCGCUCUGCAGCUGCACCCGGACAAGAACAGGCAUCCCAAGGCGGAGGUCGCCUUCAAGCUUGUCUCCGAGGCGCACGCGUGCCUGACGGACAAGGCGCGCCGGCGGGCCUUCGACGCCGAGCGGGCCACGGCCUUCUGCGCCGCGUGCCACGACCGUGCGAGGGCCGCCACCACGCCCUGCGCCCCCACCCGGCGCCGCGCCAGCGACAGGAGGACGCCGGCGUCGUCCGAGGCAGCGUCCGCACAGCAGCAGCACAACAAGGCCCGUGGCUCCGUCGCAAAGCAGCAGGGCGGCGGCAGGAGGAGGCCGCCCUCACCGACGACGCAGGCGCUGCGGGAGGUGCAGAACCGGCUGCGGGACGAGUGCAGGGUCAUCGACGGCUGCCUGCGAGCCAACGCUGCCGGCGCGCGCAGGCGCCAGUCCUUCCCGCUCUUCGACCCGUCCGACCGGCAGCGCUUCCCGGACUACCCGCACGCCCGGCCCCCGCCGUCGUUCGCCGAGUGCCGGCCGUUCGAGGAGGAGGAGGAGCUCGGCGCGGGCCACGGCCACCAGAGCUGGUGCACAAACGGCAGCUGCGAGUCGCCGGUGUACCAGGUCAGGACCGCGCCGGAGCGCGCCGCGAGGACGAACCGCCCUUGGUGA